CCUACGGGGGGCUGCAGUAGGGAAUAUUGCACAAUGGGCGAAAGCCUGAUGCAGCAACGCCGCGUGCGCGAUGAAGGCCUUCGGGUCGUAAAGCGCUUUUCGGGGAGAUGAGGAAGGACAGUAUCCCCGGAAUAAGGCUCGGCUAACUACGUGCCAGCAGCCGCGGUAAAACGUAGGAGCCAAGCGUUAUCCGAAUUCACUGGGCGUAAAGCGUGUGCAGGCGGACUGAUAAGUUGGAUGUGAAAUCUCCUGGCUCAACUGGGGGAGGCCGUACAAUACUGUCAGACUAGAGGGCAACAGAGGGAGGUGGAAUUCCCGGUGUAGUGGUGAAAUGCGUAGAUAUCGGGAGGAACACCAGUGGCGAAAGCGGCCUCCUGGGUUGCAUCUGACGCUCAGACACGAAAGCUAGGGGAGCAAACGGGAUUAGAUACCCGUGUAGUC
RNAcentral lists this ribosomal RNA (441 nucleotides) under uncultured bacterium. RNAcentral's name for it is "partial 16S ribosomal RNA". It matches the Rfam family "Bacterial small subunit ribosomal RNA", at positions 338 to 795 of the family's 1533-position model. The record is from RNAcentral.